Myotis lucifugus (little brown bat) is the source of this 76-nucleotide non-coding RNA. NCBI's taxonomy places the organism in Eukaryota, Metazoa, Chordata, Mammalia, Chiroptera, Vespertilionidae. The record is from Rfam.
GGCGGUUCUCGGGUGACACACCCCGGAAUCAGGGCUCCCUCUUCUCUGGUUCCUGGUGCGUCACCCAAGAACCACU